RNAcentral lists this ribosomal RNA (494 nucleotides) under uncultured bacterium. Its description in RNAcentral is "partial 16S ribosomal RNA". It matches the Rfam family "Bacterial small subunit ribosomal RNA", at positions 29 to 505 of the family's 1533-position model. The record is from RNAcentral.
AUGAACGCUGGCGGCGUGCCUAAUACAUGCAAGUCGAGCGAACAGAUGAGGAGCUUGCUCCUCUGACGUUAGCGGCGGACGGGUGAGUAACACGUGGAUAACCUACCUAUAAGACUGGGAUAACUUCGGGAAACCGGAGCUAAUACCGGAUAAUAUAUUGAACCGCAUGGUUCAAUAGUGAAAGACGGUUUUGCUGUCACUUAUAGAUGGAUCCGCGCCGCAUUAGCUAGUUGGUAAGGUAACGGCUUACCAAGGCAACGAUGCGUAGCCGACCUGAGAGGGGGAUCGGCCACGCUGGAACUGAGACACGGUCCAGACUCCUACGGGAGGCAGCAGUAGGGAAUCUUCCGCAAUGGGCGAAAGCUUGACGGAGCAACGCCGCGUGAGUGAUGAAGGUCUUCGGAUCGUAAAACUCUGUUAUUAGGGAAGAACAAAUGUGUAAGUAACUAUGCACAUCUUGACGGUACCUAAUCAGAAAGCCACGGCUAACUACG